This 279-nucleotide ribosomal RNA is filed under the name uncultured bacterium. RNAcentral's name for it is "partial 16S ribosomal RNA". It matches the Rfam family "Bacterial small subunit ribosomal RNA", at positions 334 to 629 of the family's 1533-position model. The record is from RNAcentral.
UACACCCUACGGGGGGCAGCAGUGGGGAAUAUUGCACAAUGGGGGAAACCCUGAUGCAGCGACGCCGCGUGAGUGAAGAAGUAUUUCGGUAUGUAAAGCUCUAUCAGCAGGGAAGAAAAUGACGGUACCUGACUAAGAAGCCCCGGCUAACUACGUGCCAGCAGCCGCGGUAAUACGUAGGGGGCAAGCGUUAUCCGGAUUUACUGGGUGUAAAGGGAGCGUAGACGGUGCAGCAAGUCUGAUGUGAAAGGUCGGGGCCCAACCCCGGGACUGCAUUGG